UUUACCGAUGUGGUUGUCCUCGAUGUGCUCGAUGAGGUCGGCCAGGGUGGGGAAGUGGAGUCCGCAGCCCCCGAAUCGGCAGAGAUGGAGUUUUGCCAUUUGCCCAGGCUGGACUCGCAGUCCUGGACUCAACCACCUUGGCCUCCCAAAGUGCUGGGAUUACAGAUCAUUAACCUUGGGGAAGUCACUCAGUCUCUCUGAGACUUCUUACCUACACACUGGAUUUAACAGUACAGAUCCUACCCAGCUUCUGGGGAUGAAAUGAAAUGCUGCAUGUGAAAACACACUGGAAACUAUAAAAUGCUAAUCAAAGAUGAGAGCACAACAUGACAGCCGGAGCAACAGUAGCUAUCUUAUGAAUGUGAGAAUGUGGAUCAUACUAGAUUGAUGAACUGCAAUUGCCCUAUCAGCCCAGCACUGCCUACUUCUGGAAUUCUCGUUGUGUGUGAGAAAAAUAAAUUCCUAUUUAUUUAA
RNAcentral lists this long non-coding RNA (474 nucleotides) under Homo sapiens (human). RNAcentral's name for it is "HSALNT0340000". The record is from RNAcentral. Lineage: Eukaryota; Metazoa; Chordata; Mammalia; Primates; Hominidae.